GCACGGGUGCGUAACGCGUAUACAAUCUGCCUUAUACAGAGGGAUAGCCUUUAGAAAUGAAGAUUAAUACCUCAUGGUCUAUUAAUAUAGCAUUAUAUAAAUAGUAAAGCUUCGGCGGUAUAAGAUGAGUAUGCGUCCUAUUAGUUAGUUGGUAAGGUAACGGCUUACCAAGACAACGAUAGGUAGGGGCCCUGAGAGGGGGAUCCCCCACACUGGUACUGAGACACGGACCAGACUCCUACGGGAGGCAGCAGUGAGGAAUAUUGGACAAUGGAGGUAACUCUGAUCCAGCCAUGCCGCGUGCAGGAAGACGGCCCUAUGGGUUGUAAACUGCUUUUAUAUAGGAAGAAACCUUUUCACGUGUGAGAAGCUGACGGUACUAUAAUAAUA
Molecule: ribosomal RNA, 390 nt
Filed under: uncultured bacterium
Lineage: Bacteria
Description: bacterial SSU rRNA
Rfam family: Bacterial small subunit ribosomal RNA
Source: RNAcentral